ACAUGCAAGUCGAGGGGUAUAGUUCUUCGGAACUAGAGACCGGCGCACGGGUGCGUAACGCGUAUGCAAUCUACCUUUCACAAAGGAAUAGCCCAGAGAAAUUUGGAUUAAUACCUUAUAGUAUAUAUGAAUGGCAUCAUUUAUAUAUUAAAGAUUUAUCGGUGAAAGAUGAGCAUGCGUCCCAUUAGCUAGUUGGUAAGGUAACGGCUUACCAAGGCAACGAUGGGUAGGGGUCCUGAGAGGGAGAUCCCCCACACUGGUACUGAGACACGGACCAGACUCCUACGGGAGGCAGCAGUGAGGAAUAUUGGACAAUGGGCGCAAGCCUGAUCCAGCCAUGCCGCGUGCAGGAUGACGGUCCUAUGGAUUGUAAACUGCUUUUAUACGAGAAGAAACACUCCGACGUGUCGGAGCUUGACGGUAUCGUAAGAAUAAGGAUCGGCUAACUCCGUGCCAGCAGCCGCGGUAAUACGGAGGAUCCAAGCGUUAUCCGGAAUCAUUGGGUUUAAAGGGUCCGUAGGCGGUCAGAUAAGUCAGUGGUGAAAGCCCAUCGCUCAACGGUGGAACGGCCAUUGAUACUGUCUGACUUGAAUUAUUAGGAAGUAACUAGAAUAUGUAGUGUAGCGGUGAAAUGCUUAGAGAUUACAUGGAAUACCAAUUGCGAAGGCAGGUUACUACUAAUAUAUUGACGCUGAUGGAUGAAAGCGUGGGUAGCGAACAGGAUUAGAUACCCUGGUAGUCCACGCCGUAAACGAUGGAUACUAGCUGUUGGAAGCAAUUUCAGUGGCUAAGCGAAAGUGAUAAGUAUCCCACCUGGGGAGUACGUUCGCAAGAAUGAAACUCAAAGGAAUUGACGGGGGCCCGCACAAGCGGUGGAGCAUGUGGUUUAAUUCGAUGAUAC
RNAcentral lists this ribosomal RNA (901 nucleotides) under uncultured bacterium. RNAcentral describes it as "bacterial SSU rRNA". It matches the Rfam family "Bacterial small subunit ribosomal RNA", at positions 53 to 960 of the family's 1533-position model. The record is from RNAcentral.